Molecule: non-coding RNA, 276 nt
Filed under: Priestia endophytica
Lineage: Bacteria; Bacillati; Bacillota; Bacilli; Caryophanales; Bacillaceae
Description: Bacillus endophyticus T-box sequence
Rfam family: T-box leader
About the family: Uncharged tRNA acts as the effector for transcription antitermination of genes in the T-box leader family. T-boxes are found upstream of many aminoacyl-tRNA synthetase genes and some amino acid biosynthetic genes usually in Gram-positive bacteria.
Source: RNAcentral
UUACAAGCCAUGAAGAGGGAAAGUAAAAUGGUUUUAUUCUGUACAGAGAGCUUCGGUAGCUGAAAAGAAGCAAGGAUAAGCAUUUGAAAAAUGGCCUCGGAGCUUCACUUUGAACUUAUCACAAUGAUAAUAGUAGAUGGUGACGAGUUGGGACUCUCGUUAUAAAAGUUACAGUAUAAAAACAAACGUUGUUUGUUGAGUACUUGCAGAGGUCCAUAAUGUGAGUUAUGGGCAAAAUAAGGUGGUACCAUGGGAACUCAAAGCCCCAUCCUUAUC